RNAcentral lists this ribosomal RNA (987 nucleotides) under uncultured Verrucomicrobiota bacterium. RNAcentral's name for it is "bacterial SSU rRNA". It matches the Rfam family "Bacterial small subunit ribosomal RNA", at positions 364 to 1336 of the family's 1533-position model. The record is from RNAcentral. Lineage: Bacteria; Pseudomonadati; Verrucomicrobiota.
UUUGACAAUGGGGGAAACCCUGAUCGACCGACGCCGCGUGGAGGAUGAAGGUCUUCGGAUUGUAAACUCCUGUCAUUGGGGAACAAAUCGCUUACGUUAACUGCGUGACGUUGAUAGUACCCGAAGAGGAAGAAACGGCUAACUCUGUGCCAGCAGCCGCGGUAAUACAGAAGUCUCAAGCGUUGUUCGGAUUCAUUGGGCGUAAAGGGUGCGUAGGCGGCGCGGUAAGUCGGGUGUGAAAUCUUGGAGCUUAACUCCGAAACUGCAUUCGAUACUGCCGUGCUUGAGGACUGGAGAGGAGACUGGAAUUUACGGUGUAGCGGUGAAAUGCGUAGAUAUCGUAAGGAAGACCAGUGGCGAAGGCGGGUCUCUGGACAGUUCCUGACGCUGAGGCACGAAGGUCAGGGGAGCAAACGGGAUUAGAUACCCCGGUAGUCCUGACAGUAAACGGUGCACGUUUGGUGUGGGAGGAUUCGACCCCUUCUGCGCCGGAGCUAACGCGUUAAACGUGCCGCCUGGGGAGUACGGUCGCCAGAUUAAAACUCAAAGAGAUUGACGGGCGGCCCGCGCGACGAAGGAGUAUGUGGCUCAUUUCAAUGCCUCGCGAAGAACCUUACCAGGCCUUGACAUGCAUUGCUAAGUUGGUUGAAAGCCAGCGACUGGAGCAAUCCAGACCUUGCACAGGUGCUGCAUGGCUGUCGUCAGCUCGUGUCGUGAGAUGUUGGGUUAAGUCCCGCAACGAGUGCAACCCCUGUGAACUGUUGCCACCGAGCCGUGAGGUUCGAGCACUUUGUUCAGACUGCCCCGCUCUAACGGGGAGGAAGGUGGGGACGACGUCAAGUCAGUAUGGCCCUUACGGCCUGGGCUGCACACGUACUACAAUGCCCAGUACAGAAUGAUCCAAGACCGCGAGGUGGAGGAAAUCACUAAAACUGGGCCCAGUUCAGAUUGAAGUCUGCAACUCGACUUAAAGAAGCCGGAAUCGAU